UACGUAGGCAGCGAGCGUUGUUCGGAGUUACUGGGCGUAAAGGGUGUGUAGGCGGUUGUUUAAGUUUGGUGUGAAAUCUCCCGGCUCAACUGGGAGGGUGCGCCGAAUACUGAAUGACUUGGAGUGCGGGAGAGGAGAGUGGAAUUCCUGGUGUAGCGGUGAAAUGCGUAGAUAUCAGGAGGAACACCGGUGGUGUAGACGGCUCUCUGGACCGUAACUGACGCUCAGGCGCGACAGCGUGGGGAUCAAACAGG
RNAcentral lists this ribosomal RNA (254 nucleotides) under uncultured bacterium. Its description in RNAcentral is "partial 16S ribosomal RNA". It matches the Rfam family "Bacterial small subunit ribosomal RNA", at positions 524 to 776 of the family's 1533-position model. The record is from RNAcentral.